GAUACUGAUCCUCGCAGGCAUCUGCGAGGUUCGAAAGCUCCGGCGGUGCAGGAUGAGCCCGCGGCCUAUCAGCUAGUUGGUGAGGUAACGGCUCACCAAGGCGACGACGGGUAGCCGGCCUGAGAGGGCGACCGGCCACACUGGGACUGAGACACGGCCCAGACUCCUACGGGAGGCAGCAGUGGGGAAUAUUGCACAAUGGGCGAAAGCCUGAUGCAGCGACGCCGCGUGAGGGAUGACGGCCUUCGGGUUGUAAACCUCUUUCAGCAGGGAAGAAGCGAAAGUGACGGUACCUGCAGAAGAAGCGCCGGCUAACUACGUGCCAGCAGCCGCGGUAAUACGUAGGGCGCAAGCGUUGUCCGGAAUUAUUGGGCGUAAAGAGCUCGUAGGCGGCUUGUCACGUCGGUUGUGAAAGCCCGGGGCUUAACCCCGGGUCUGCAGUCGAUACGGGCAGGCUAGAGUUCGGUAGGGGAGAUCGGAAUUCCUGGUGUAGCGGUGAAAUGCGCAGAUAUCAGGAGGAACACCGGUGGCGAAGGCGGAUCUCUGGGCCGAUACUGACGCUGAGGAGCGAAAGCGUGGGGAGCGAACAGGAUUAGAUACCCUGGUAGUCCACGCCGUAAACGGUGGGCACUAGGUGUGGGCAACAUUCCACGUUGUCCGUGCCGCAGCUAACGCAUUAAGUGCCCCGCCUGGGGAGUACGGCCGCAAGGCUAAAACUCA
Molecule: ribosomal RNA, 720 nt
Filed under: Streptomyces enissocaesilis
Lineage: Bacteria; Bacillati; Actinomycetota; Actinomycetes; Kitasatosporales; Streptomycetaceae
Description: bacterial SSU rRNA
Rfam family: Bacterial small subunit ribosomal RNA
Source: RNAcentral